GCCUGCUUGGCGCAGUGGUAACGCGUAGCACUUGUAUGUGUAUUUAAUUAUUACAGACAUGCUGAGAUCAUUGGUUCGAUUCCAGUAGUAGGCA
Molecule: transfer RNA, 94 nt
Filed under: Sclerotinia borealis F-4128
Lineage: Eukaryota; Fungi; Ascomycota; Leotiomycetes; Helotiales; Sclerotiniaceae
Rfam family: tRNA
About the family: Transfer RNA (tRNA) molecules are approximately 80 nucleotides in length. Their secondary structure includes four short double-helical elements and three loops (D, anti-codon, and T loops).
Source: Rfam by way of RNAcentral